Molecule: non-coding RNA, 99 nt
Filed under: Anaerolineae bacterium
Lineage: Bacteria; Bacillati; Chloroflexota; Anaerolineae
Description: Glycine sequence
Rfam family: Glycine riboswitch aptamer
About the family: This family represents the bacterial glycine riboswitch. Glycine riboswitches usually consist of two metabolite-binding aptamers domains with similar structures in tandem.
Source: RNAcentral
CCCCUGGAAAGCCUGAAUCACUUAAAAAUCAGGCACCGAAGGGGCAAACUGGUUGGUAUGAAAGCCAGUCGGUGAAACUCUCAGGUACAAAGACAGGGG